Molecule: transfer RNA, 64 nt
Filed under: Biomphalaria glabrata
Lineage: Eukaryota; Metazoa; Mollusca; Gastropoda; Planorbidae
Rfam family: tRNA
About the family: Transfer RNA (tRNA) molecules are approximately 80 nucleotides in length. Their secondary structure includes four short double-helical elements and three loops (D, anti-codon, and T loops). Further hydrogen bonds mediate the characteristic L-shaped molecular structure. tRNAs have two regions of fundamental functional importance: the anti-codon, which is responsible for specific mRNA codon recognition, and the 3' end, to which the tRNAs corresponding amino acid is attached (by aminoacyl-tRNA synthetases). tRNAs cope with the degeneracy of the genetic code in two manners: having more than one tRNA (with a specific anti-codon) for a particular amino acid; and 'wobble' base-pairing, i.e. permitting non-standard base-pairing at the 3rd anti-codon position.
Source: Rfam by way of RNAcentral
UCAUGGCUGAGUGGUAAAGCACUUGGCUUCCAAACCAAGGGGUCUCAGAUUUGAAUCCUGGUGA